GUUACUGCUAUCGGAGUUCGAGUAAGCCAUGCGAGUCUAAAGGUUUCUUUCGGGAAGCCCUGGCGGACUGCUCAGUAACACGUGGAUAACCUACCCUUAGGACUGGGAUAACCCCGGGAAACUGGGGAUAAUACCGGAUAGAUCAAGGAUGCUGGAAUGCGCCUUGAUCCAAAGCUCCGGCGCCUAAGGAUGGGUCUGCGGCCUAUCAGGUUGUAGUGGGUGUAACGUACCUACUAGCCGACGACGGGUACGGGUUGUGAGAGCAAGAGCCCGGAGAUGGAUUCUGAGACACGAAUCCAGGCCCUACGGGGUGCAGCAGGCGCGAAACCUUUACAAUGUGCGAAAGCAUGAUAAGGGGACUCCGAGUGCCAGCAUCUAAUGUUGGCUGUCCUUGUGCCUAAAAAGCACAAGAUAGCAAGGGCCGGGUAAGACCGGUGCCAGCCGCCGCGGUAACACCGGCGGCCCGAGUGGUAGCCGCUAUUAUUGGGUCUAAAGGGUCCGUAGCCGGUUCGGUAAGUCCUCUGGGAAAUCUGGUUGCUUAACAAUCAGACAGCCAAGGGAUACUGCUGAACUCGAGACCGGGAGAGGUAAGAGGUACUUCAGGGGUAGGAGUGAAAUCUUGUGAUCCCUGGGGGACCAUCUGUGGCGAAGGCGUCUUACCAGAACGGGUCUGACGGUGAGGGACGAAAGCUGGGGGCGCAAACCGGAUUAGAUACCCGGGUAGUCCCAGCCGUAAACGAUGCUCGCUAUGUGUCAGGUACGGUGCGACCGUAUCUGGUGCCGUAGGGAAGCCGUGAAGCGAGCCACCUGGGAAGUACGGUCGCAAGACUGAAACUUAAAGGAAUUGGCGGGGGAGCACUACAACGGGUGGAGCCUGCGGUUUAAUUGGAGUCAACGCCGGG
Molecule: ribosomal RNA, 902 nt
Filed under: uncultured archaeon
Lineage: Archaea
Description: bacterial SSU rRNA
Rfam family: Archaeal small subunit ribosomal RNA
Source: RNAcentral